AACGAACGCUGGCGGCAUGCCUAACACAUGCAAGUCGAACGAGACCUUCGGGUCUAGUGGCGCACGGGUGCGUAACGCGUGGGAACCUGCCCUUAGGUUCGGAAUAACUCCCCGACAGGGGUGCUAAUACCGGAUAAUGUCUUCGGACCAAAGAUUUAUCGCCUUUGGAUGGGCCCGCGUUGGAUUAGCUAGUUGGUAGGGUAAAAGCCUACCAAGGCGACGAUCCAUAGCUGGUCUGAGAGGAUGAUCAGCCACACUGGGACUGAGACACGGCCCAGACUCUUACGGGAAGCAGCAGUGGGGAAUAGUGGAAAAUGGGCGAAAGCCUGAUCCAGCAAUGCCGCGUGAGUGAUGAAGGCCUUAGGGUUGUAAAGCUCUUUUACCCGGGAUGAUAAUGACAGUACCGGGAGAAUAAGCUCCGGCUAACUCCGUG
RNAcentral lists this ribosomal RNA (433 nucleotides) under uncultured bacterium. Its description in RNAcentral is "partial 16S ribosomal RNA". It matches the Rfam family "Bacterial small subunit ribosomal RNA", at positions 29 to 507 of the family's 1533-position model. The record is from RNAcentral.